GCUCUGGCUUUUGUAGCACAUAUAAAAUUGGAACGACACAGAGAAGAUUAUUAGCAUGGCCCCAGCGCAAGGAUAACACGCAAAUUUGUGAAGUGUUUCAUAUUAUU
This 107-nucleotide small nuclear RNA is filed under the name Microcebus murinus (gray mouse lemur). The record is from RNAcentral. Lineage: Eukaryota; Metazoa; Chordata; Mammalia; Primates; Cheirogaleidae.